ACGGAAGGCAGCAGUGGGGAAUAUUGGGCAAUGGGCGAAAGCCUGACCCAGCAACGCCGCGUGAAGGAAGAAGGUCUUCGGAUUGUAAACUUCUUUUAUGAGGGACGAAGGACGUGACGGUACCUCAUGAAUAAGCCACGGCUAACUACGUGCCAGCAGCCGCGGUAAUACGUAGGUGGCGAGCGUUAUCCGGAUUUAUUGGGUUUAAAGGGAGCGUAGGCGGGAUGUCAAGUCAGCUGUGAAAUGUAGUCGCUCAACGUCUGCACUGCAGUUGAAACUGGUGUUCUUGAGUGCGUAAGAGGCAGGUGGAAUUCGUCGUGUAGCGGUGAAAUGCAUAGAUAUGACGAAGAACUCCGAUUGCGAAGGCAGCCUGCUGGGCCGCUACUGACGCUGAAGCUCGAAGGUGCGGGUAUCAAACAGGAUUAGAUACCCUGGUA
This 437-nucleotide ribosomal RNA is filed under the name uncultured bacterium. RNAcentral's name for it is "partial 16S ribosomal RNA". It matches the Rfam family "Bacterial small subunit ribosomal RNA", at positions 341 to 792 of the family's 1533-position model. The record is from RNAcentral.